Chiloscyllium plagiosum (whitespotted bambooshark) is the source of this 1889-nucleotide non-coding RNA. The record is from RefSeq and is a predicted model, not a curated record. Lineage: Eukaryota; Metazoa; Chordata; Chondrichthyes; Orectolobiformes; Hemiscylliidae.
UGCAAGCAAGCGAGGAUCCUCCAAAAAAAAGAAUACCAGCGAGUCCUGGAGAGUUGAGCGAAGUAACCCGGCCUCAGCCCCUGAACAAGUCAAUCCGCCGCCUAAUGCCAUCGGAUUGCAUCUGCCGGCAGAUUGACUGGAUAUUGAGUAGUUUCCAAUGAAGCUCACUGUGAUUUGCAUUCUCUCUUCACCCCCGUCCUCCCCCACCCCACCCCCCCACCUCCAGCAUGCUUUUUCUUUAUAUAAAGCCGGUGGUGCAAGCCCGUAGUGUUUAUCUCCUGUACACUAUCAUGUAUUAACCGUUUAAAUGCAUAAACCAUUACGGCUGGCUUCAUGGGGCCGGCGAUUAAUUAUAGACCCUUUUUUGUAUGUGUGUGUGAGGGGGGGGGGGGGGGGUGAAGUGGCCGAAGUUUGACCAUCCGGAAAAAGAAAUUGCUUGAAACUGGCAUGCCCCCUGAUCGUGAUAGAUAAUUCGGAUUUACCCCCCCCCCCCCCCCCCGCGCCACCGAGACACCGGGGCAGACUCGGUUCCCCCCACCCUCCCUGGAAAACAGUCUCAGUGCCCCUUCCUGUAACCAAGCCGUAUUAAGUUAGCUAAAGUGAAACUCUGUCUAUGUUUGCUACUUUUUGAAGGACGUGCUUUAGGAAACUGCAAUCUGUCUUGAUUCCCUAUCCUCCCCCCCCCCCUCCAAACCCACCAGAAAAAGGCACAGUAAUUCAGAGUGAAAGCUAUUCCAACUCAUAGAGACACAUCUGUGCAAUGACUUUGACUCCUCGUGUAAGGCCCGUCACAAAUAAAAGAUCCAGUUCACUGAAUGUUUGUGAAAUCGCUAAAAUCCUUCCUUUCAAAUUACUUACCUCUUGACACUCGAUAAUAAUCCAGGCCCGUGAAUUAUGUCGGAGUAGACUUUUAUUUUUUAAGCUGUCUUUUAACCUGACAAUCGUGUGACAGACUUAAGAGAUAUCCGUUUUGAAAAACAGACCUUUCAUUGGAGAGAAAGAAAAAUGAGAAUUGUAAGGAAGGCCACACGUUUCCUUUUCGGAGUUGGAAUGGGGUCUCUCGAAGUGACAGUUUUUCCCACUCUCAGAGUUUGGAACGGGCCAAAAUCUAAAAGAGACUGAAAUACAGCCGGCGCCUCGUGUUAUUUCUUACACAUACUAUACGAUUGAUCUUUUUUUUAUCUUAAAAAGAAGAAACGUUUUAUUGUAAAACACACAGCCGUAGGUUACAAGAUGCUGGAACUUUCCACACGUGUACCCACUAAAGAAUUCUUAAAAGAGUAAAGAUGCGUGAACAAUUCUUUAAACCUGGCCCGGAGAAAGCAGUAACCACUGUGUUUCAGCAGCUCGCAAGGUGCCCCACAUUGCUGGAGACGAGACCUCGCUGAGGAUAAGUGAUGUUGCAGCCUUUGAGGGCAAGUCUAAUUAACAGAGAAAACAGGCUGGGAAAACACAGACCCGUAACGUCGCCCCGGCACAAAGCGAAAACAAAAUACUACCGCCCCCCAAUCCGGACGCACCAAACAAAACAUGGUAAAUUGAAGGCCGAUUUCGUGAGUUCGGGAUUUAAAAGGUGCUUGGAAUAACCGAGGACUGGCAGAAUGGUGACCAACUUGGUACCAGAAUUUCCGGACGUGUAGGAGACCUUUCCCGGGAACUGUUCCCAAAUUCCCAAAUCAUUAAAAUGAGCUUUUUUGGGGGCAGAGAGGACUGUCUGUAAGGCCUAGGGAAUCCGCCUCUCGUUUGGUUUUGAUGCUGCGGUCAAUAUUUAGAAUCUGCACUCGAUUUCGUUUUCACAGCCCCGUAUGAGACCAGCUGUAGUCCACGUCAGUUCUGUGGCUGCUCGGGUUUACAGAUGGUAUUAUAAAAAUAAAACGCAAAGGAUUGAG